AUUGAACGCUGGCGGCAUGCCUAACACAUGCAAGUCGAACGGCAGCGCGGGGGCAACCCUGGCGGCGAGUGGCGGACGGGUGAGGAAUACAUCGGAAUCUACCUUCUGGUGGGGGAUAACCAGCCGAAGGCUGGCUAAUACCGCAUAAGACCGAGAGGUGAAAGCGGGGGACCGAAAGGCCUCGCGCGAGAAGAUGAGCCGAUGUCCGAUUAGCUAGUUGGCGGGGUAAGAGCCCACCAAGGCGACGAUCGGUAGCUGGUCUGAGAGGAUGAUCAGCCACACUGGGACUGAGACACGGCCCAGACUCCUACGGGAGGCAGCAGUGGGGAAUAUUGGACAAUGGGCGCAAGCCUGAUCCAGCAAUGCCGCGUGUGUGAAGAAGGCC
This 385-nucleotide ribosomal RNA is filed under the name uncultured bacterium. RNAcentral describes it as "bacterial SSU rRNA". It matches the Rfam family "Bacterial small subunit ribosomal RNA", at positions 29 to 416 of the family's 1533-position model. The record is from RNAcentral.